Molecule: unclassified non-coding RNA, 113 nt
Organism: Otolemur garnettii (small-eared galago)
Lineage: Eukaryota; Metazoa; Chordata; Mammalia; Primates; Galagidae
Rfam family: Y RNA
About the family: Y RNAs are components of the Ro ribonucleoprotein particle (Ro RNP), in association with Ro60 and La proteins. The Y RNAs and Ro60 and La proteins are well conserved, but the function of the Ro RNP is not known. In humans the RNA component can be one of four small RNAs -- hY1, hY3, hY4 and hY5.
Source: Ensembl
GGCUAGUCUGAAGGUAGUGACUUAUCUCACUUGACUGUUCACAGUGACUUACAGAUUGAACUUCUUAUUCUCCUCUUUCCCCACUUCUCACUCCUGUUCUUGACUACUCUUAA